UAGCUAAAAUGGUAGAGUGCUUGCCUUGCAUGCAAAAGGCCCUGGGUUUGAUCCCCAG
This 58-nucleotide transfer RNA is filed under the name Urocitellus parryii (Arctic ground squirrel). Its description in RNAcentral is "Spermophilus parryii (Arctic ground squirrel) tRNA". It matches the Rfam family "tRNA", at positions 8 to 63 of the family's 71-position model. Rfam says of the family: Transfer RNA (tRNA) molecules are approximately 80 nucleotides in length. Their secondary structure includes four short double-helical elements and three loops (D, anti-codon, and T loops). Lineage: Eukaryota; Metazoa; Chordata; Mammalia; Rodentia; Sciuridae. RNAcentral also lists the same sequence under 2 other names. The record is from Rfam by way of RNAcentral.